Symphalangus syndactylus (siamang) is the source of this 1625-nucleotide long non-coding RNA. RefSeq lists it as uncharacterized. Lineage: Eukaryota; Metazoa; Chordata; Mammalia; Primates; Hylobatidae. The record is from RefSeq and is a predicted model, not a curated record.
GCCACCUACCCGUAGGGAACUAUGACCCUCUAGGGGGCAUGGAACUCGCGGGGAGGGAGUGGCCUCGCCCUUGAGGACGAAAGGCUCCUUCAAAAGGCGGGCGAGGGGCCGGGCGCGGUGGCUCACACCUGUCAUCCCAGCACUUUCGGAGGCCGAGGUGAGAGAGGUGAGAGGAUCUUGAGUUAGAGACCAGCCUGGACAACAUAGCGAGACCUCGUCUCUAUCAAAAAAAAAAAAAAAAAAAAAAAAAAAGCGGGCGUAGUGGCGCUCGCCUGUGGUCCCAGGGAGGCUGAGGUGAGAGGAUCGCUUGAGCCCAGGAGGUAGAGGCUGCCGUCGCGCCACUGCACUCCACUCUGGGAGACGAAGCGAGACCCUGCCUCAAUAAACCAGAAACCAAAAAACAACAAAAAAGGCGAGUUGGGGAGUAAUGACCUUCUCAGGAGGGCUAGAGAGAACAAGAGACCCUUUCGGGGAAGAUGGGGUCCGCGAAGAGAGAGUGACCUCCCAUUUGGGACAGAGUUCAAGUGAGGGGUAACGAGCGACCUCCCUUAGGGGUCCUGAUAGGUGCCAGAGACUUCCGUAGAGGACCCCGGGGCUAUACGGAGCAGCCAUCACUCACGAGUGCGGGCUCCUAAACUUGGGCAGCUGUGGUUGGGGGAGCUGGGGCCGCGCUGUCCUCAGCCUCUUGGGGAACAGCUUAAAUAUCAGGUGUCCUGUGAGCCCUGAGUGAGAGCCACACGCCCUGUAAAAUGCCCCUCCUGGAUUUGAAGCCUGGUCACAUUCUCACUCCAAUUCAAAUACUUCCUUAGUUGCCGCCCGGGGGAGAUGAUUCUGUGGUCAUCCUUUCCACUGAGAAAAUGCAAUCACAACUUUAGGAGAGAAAAUAGUGAAAGUGGGGGAAACAGCCACCGUUCUACCCCAUGAAUACAAUUUUCUGCAUGUAUAUUUGUUCAUUCCCUUCAGAUACGUUUUUUCUUUUUCUUUUCUUUUUUUUUUUUUUUUGAGACGGAAUUUCACUCUUGUCCAGUCUGGAGUGCGGUGGCGCGAUCUCGGCUCACUGUAACCUCCGCCUCCCAAGUUCAAGCAAUUUUCCUGCCUCAGCCUCUUGAGUAGCUGGGAUUACAAGUGCCCGCCACCACGCCCAGCUAAUUUUUGUAUUUUUAGUAGAGACAGGUUUUCACCAUGUUGGCCAGGCUGAUCUCCAGCUCCUGACCUCCCAUGAUCCACCCGCCUCGGGCUCCCAACGUGUUGGGAUUACAGGUGUGAGCCACUGCGCCUGGCCCAGAUGUGUUUUCAUAGGUGAAUGUUAUAUUUAGUUUCCCAGAAAAUAUUCAUAAGCACAUCCUUUAUGCCAAGUACUGUCCAGUGAACAGGACAAGCAAAAUAUCCUGCCUUCAUGCAGCAUAAAUUCCAGCAGAUGACUGGAACUGAUUUGACAUAACCAUCGUAUGCAUGGAGGAGCUGAGAACAGUAAUCUGCAGAAGCAAAAGUAUGAAACAGCUGGGCAAAGAUGCACAGAGUGUCUUGCUCUGUCGUCCAGGCUGGAGUGCAGUGGCGCGAUCUCGGCUCACUGCAACCUCUGCCUCCCGGGUUCAAGCGAUUCCUCUGCCUCAGCCUCCCUAGUA